This 260-nucleotide ribosomal RNA is filed under the name uncultured bacterium. RNAcentral's name for it is "partial 16S ribosomal RNA". It matches the Rfam family "Bacterial small subunit ribosomal RNA", at positions 1062 to 1320 of the family's 1533-position model. The record is from RNAcentral.
GUGUCGUGAGAUGUUGGGUUAAGUCCCGCAACGAGCGCAACCCCUAUCCUUUGUUGCCAGCACGCAAUGGUGGGAACUCAAAGGAGACUGCCGCGGACAACGCGGAGGAAGGCGGGGAUGACGUCAAGUCAUCAUGCCCCUUAUGUCCUGGGCUACACACGUACUACAAUGGGAUGGACAGAGAGCAGCGAAGCCGCGAGGCCAAGCGAACCCCAUAAAACCAUCUCCCAGUUCGGAUUGCAGGCUGCAACCCGCCUGCA